RNAcentral lists this ribosomal RNA (429 nucleotides) under Chloroflexota bacterium. RNAcentral describes it as "Chloroflexi bacterium partial 16S ribosomal RNA". It matches the Rfam family "Bacterial small subunit ribosomal RNA", at positions 355 to 776 of the family's 1533-position model. Lineage: Bacteria; Bacillati; Chloroflexota. The record is from RNAcentral.
UGGGGAAUAUUGCACAAUGGGCGCAAGCCUGAUGCAGCCAUGCCGCGUGUAUGAAGAAGGCCUUCGGGUUGUAAAGUACUUUCAGUCGGGAGGAAGGUGUCAAGGUUAAUAACCUUGGCAAUUGACGUUACCGACAGAAGAAGCACCGGCUAACUCCGUGCCAGCAGCCGCGGUAAUACGGAGGGUGCAAGCGUUAAUCGGAAUUACUGGGCGUAAAGCGCACGCAGGCGGUUUGUUAAGUCAGAUGUGAAAUCCCCGGGCUCAACCUGGGAACUGCAUCUGAUACUGGCAAGCUUGAGUCUGGUAGAGGGGGGUAGAAUUCCAGGUGUAGCGGUGAAAUGCGUAGAGAUCUGGAGGAAUACCGGUGGCGAAGGCGGCCCCCUGGACGAAGACUGACGCUCAGGUGCGAAAGCGUGGGGAGCAAACAGG